Molecule: non-coding RNA, 2881 nt
Organism: Sus scrofa (pig)
Lineage: Eukaryota; Metazoa; Chordata; Mammalia; Artiodactyla; Suidae
Source: RefSeq, a predicted model, not a curated record
UCUUUAGUUAGACUGUUUAACAAUACAUACGGAUUUUUACAUAUACCUAGCACUUCCACUCCCAAAGUACACAUACCCAUACAUACACACAAACACCCCAACCCAUGAUAGGCAUAUGCAAAUCCCACAAACACGUACAUAGAGUGCGCAAGCUCACACACUCCCUCGGGAGGCAGAAACUCUGAGUCCAGAUGUGCCCCAGCCUCAGGGAUGCUGAGGAUCUGGCCGCAGAGAGAACGUGCAGACCUCAGGCCACGGCUGGCUCUCAGCCAGCAGGAGGGGCGGGCAGUCUGCCAGCUCUGGAACCAGGAAGUGACAUUCCUAUUCAUCUGAGCCUUCCAGUAAACACCCAACCUGCGUGUCCGGAGACCCUUAUGAAGCGCAGGCCUUGGAGGGGAGGCCGGCUGUUCCUUGGCUGGAGGAGUGCGCGGCAGAGGGCCGCAGCCCACACAACACACUAAACCCACUUGGGAGGCCGAGGCCGCCACAACAUGGGAAUUAAGGAUCCUUCUGCGGACUCCCUCUUACACUCCUGAUGUUGUGAGAGCCCUCCUGCUCUCUUUAUCUCAUGGAGCAGCCAACGUUGGGCUGUGCCCCUGGAAAGCCUAAGAGCUCGCGGCCACCUGCCUGGAUGGCCAGAAGAACUUCUCCUGAGUCCUGAACUCCCAGCACCAUUUGUAGCACCAGUGAGAGCGGGCGCGUUCUCCCACCUCUCAGCCCUCGUCGCCUCACCCUGGUGAGCACUGACUUCACCCACACCUCUUUACCCCGCCAGCUUACCCUCACACCACGCUUCACCCCAAACACUGGCCUUCAAGGGUGGCCUUGACUUCACGUGGGCUCUCAUUUCUGCCAGGAUUCCCUCGGGUCAGCUAUCUGAGCAGGCAUCUUGGCUCAUUGCUCUGCUUCCUGGGUGGGUCCCCUGUACUGUCCCAGGGUAGAAGGAGGCAUCAUGGCUGCCCUGCCCAUCUGGUCCUAACCACACCUGGUGAUGUCAAAACCCCUUGUCAUCCAGCCAUGGAAAACCCUCAGCCCCAACAUCCUUCAUCCCAAUUCCUUUUCCAGGGCUCUUAAACUACAUGAUUUACUUGCCUGCAGGUAAAGGCCGGGGCCCUGCUUCUCUCCCAGCCCCAAUCCUACUCAAUCAUCUAGCUAUCUCCCCAGGAAGCUUUCUGUUUUCUCUCCCAAGCCAAGCUGGGUGAAGGGCCUUUCCACUGAGCUUACCUCUACGCUUGCCCACUGUUUUGGAAAGAUCUGCCUCUGCCUCCCCCAUGCAAUCAAGUUCCAGGAGGGCUGGGGCCGCAUGCUGGUCAUCUCUGUAUCGUCAGCACUUAGCACUGUGUCCAAGACAUAGUAAGCAUGCAGUAAAUGUUGAAGAAAGAAAGGAAGGAAGGAAGAGAAGAAAGAAUGACAGCCAAAGGAAGAAGUCAAUAAUGAGAACAGGCUGCAUCUGAUGCCGUAGAAGAAUGCCCAAUGGCCCCGAGCAGUGAAGCUAAACCCCAUCCUUCUCCACAUUUAACCUCCCAACUUCUCCCUCCCUGUUAUUAAUAUAAAAAGAAUGAGUUUAUAGAGACUCAUUAAAAUCAUUGGCUAAAUAACCAUGAGAGUUCCUGGAGCCCUGGGCCAUCCACAAGCCCUAUAAAGAACUCUCUACUGACAGAAGGGCAUAAAACCAUCACCAAACACAAAUACUGCUCUUUUUCCUGGUCGCAAAUACACAGUCCAUUCAAAGGUCAAGGUCAGUCACCUCUUGUGUACGUGAGCCCUCCACAGCCAAUAAACAUUUCCACAGACAGCCAAGGAGUGGCGAGGAAAGGAACCAGAAGGCUCCUGGGAAUUCUCCGCUGGGCAUAAUCACUAAAGGUGUCUCCGCAAAUGGAGAGGAGCAGGGGUCCAGGAAGGUGAACCGCCAAACAAAACAGCCAGAUAAUCCAGAAAGUAUCCACGUGUACACACACACCCUCAGCCGUUUAACUUUCCUAAUAAUGUUUUGCUCGGAUUAAUAAUUAAAUGGCCUUGUGCACGUUGACGAGACGCCAACGGCUCAGCGAGGAGAGGGGACAGAGGAGCAUGUCAGCAAGGUCAGCGUGGAAUGGAACUCAGCCAGCCUGCCCUGCAGAUAAUCUAGACUUGCUUCCGUUCACUCCUUCUCUCUUUGCUGCUUUCGUUCAUCUCAGAAUUUUAGAGAUGAAUCCAUCUCUAAAAAGUUUGACCCCGAAGCCUGAGCCCGGCUUUGUUGGUUGUGUCUGGAGGACAACUCCUCUUGGCCUUGGAAGCUCAUCCACCCGCAGGUGUCCCCUGCCUUCAGCCGAGCACGCCCCCCCGCCCCGCCCCUGCCCAGGUACCAUGACAGCCCCUCUGACAGGGAGUGUGUCCUCCCCAGGAUUCUCUCUGGGUCAGGAAUUUUCUUCCUGAUGGUGGAAAUCAGGUGGGCAUUACCUUCCAGGCUGGUAGAAAAAUGAGCAGGAAAAGAUAAUCUAUGCUAGCCUGCUUUACAAAAUACUGUCAAAUGCUCAUUGUGUCUCUGGAGAGAAAGAGACUGACCUUAACAAGGGUCUGAGGGGAGCUCCACUGGGGGGGAGGGGCAAGGAAGGGGGGGGAGGGGCGUGAGAAGGAAGAAAGCACAGCCCACAGCAUAGAGUUGUCCUCAGUCAGAGGAGGCAGAUGCUUCCAGAAGAGCAGAAUACCCCCCAACCCCCCACAGCCACCUGCCAGGCGUGGAAGCAGGUGCCCUCCUGAGCCCGCCUCCCCCCACUCCCCUCCCCUUCUUCUCCCUCCCUCCUUUCCUUCCAUCCACUUUUAGUGACCAUCGCUGUGUCAGGUCCUGUGCAGGUGGUGCGUGGUGGGAAUAUGAAGAUAAUAAAAGCGUUCUCAACCUCAA